AUACGUAGGGGGCAAGCGUUAUCCGGAUUUACUGGGUGUAAAUGGAGCGUAGGCGGUAAAGCAAGUCUGAAGUGAAAGCUCGGGGCUCAACCCCGGAACUGCUUUGGAAACUGUUUUACUGGAGUGCAGGAGAGGUAAGCGGAAUUCCUAGUGUAGCGGUGAAAUGCGUAGAUAUUAGGAGGAACACCAGAGGCGAAGGCGGCUUACUGGACUGUAACUGACGUUGAGGCUCGAAGGCGUGGGGAGCAAACAGGAUUAGAUACCCUGGUAGUCCACGCGGUAAACGAUGAUCACUAGGUGUCGGCGGCCAUAGGCGGUCGGUGCCGCAGCAAACGCAAUAAGUGAUCCACCUGGGGAGUACGUUCGCAAGAAUGAAACUCAAAUGAAUUGACGGGG
Molecule: ribosomal RNA, 396 nt
Filed under: uncultured bacterium
Lineage: Bacteria
Description: partial 16S ribosomal RNA
Rfam family: Bacterial small subunit ribosomal RNA
Source: RNAcentral